UACGGGGGGAGCAAGCGUUGUUCGGAUUUACUGGGCGUAAAGGGCGCGUAGGCGGUCGUGACAAGUCACUUGUGAAAUCUCCGGGCUUAACUCGGAACGGUCAAGUGAUACUGUCGGACUAGAGUACAGAAGGGGCAACUGGGAUUCUCGGUGUAGCGGUGAAAUGCGUAGAGAUCCGGAAGAACACCGGUGGCGAAGGCGGCCUGCUGGGCAGUGGCUGACACUGAGGCGCGACAGCGUGGGGAGCAAACAGG
RNAcentral lists this ribosomal RNA (254 nucleotides) under uncultured bacterium. RNAcentral describes it as "partial 16S ribosomal RNA". It matches the Rfam family "Bacterial small subunit ribosomal RNA", at positions 524 to 776 of the family's 1533-position model. The record is from RNAcentral.